This is a transfer RNA of Ovis aries (sheep), 72 nucleotides long. It matches the Rfam family "tRNA". Rfam says of the family: Transfer RNA (tRNA) molecules are approximately 80 nucleotides in length. Their secondary structure includes four short double-helical elements and three loops (D, anti-codon, and T loops). The record is from Rfam. NCBI's taxonomy places the organism in Eukaryota, Metazoa, Chordata, Mammalia, Artiodactyla, Bovidae.
UCCCUGGUGGCUCAGUGGGUAAAGCAUCUGCCUCCAAUCCGGGAGACCCGGGUUCGAUCCCUGGGUUGGGAA